Molecule: small nuclear RNA, 132 nt
Organism: Cylas formicarius (sweet potato weevil)
Lineage: Eukaryota; Metazoa; Arthropoda; Insecta; Coleoptera; Brentidae
Product: U11 spliceosomal RNA
Exons: 1
Source: RefSeq, a predicted model, not a curated record
AAAAAGGGUGUUUGUCGCUUGAUGGCACGCCUGUUCCGAAGGGGCAGGUGGGGUAUGGCAAUCAAGACAUACCCAGCACGUAAUUUUUGAAACCGUGGGGCUGUUUUUAGGCAUUGCACCAGGAACGCCCCC